This 1187-nucleotide ribosomal RNA is filed under the name uncultured Hydrogenobaculum sp. Its description in RNAcentral is "partial 16S ribosomal RNA". It matches the Rfam family "Bacterial small subunit ribosomal RNA", at positions 1 to 1108 of the family's 1533-position model. The record is from RNAcentral. Lineage: Bacteria; Pseudomonadati; Aquificota; Aquificia; Aquificales; Aquificaceae.
CCUCCGGGCCGCCAUNGGCCGCCGGGAUUAGAGUUUGAUCCCUGGGCCUCAGCCGCCGAAACGCUGGGCGGCAUGCCUAACACAUGCCAAGNUCGUACGGAGAGUGGGGCAACUCACUCUCAGUGGCAAACGGGUGAGUAACGCGUGAAUAACCUGCCUUUGAGAAGGGAAUAACUGUCCGAAAGGAUAGCUAAUACCCUAUAUUGCCUUUUGUCACUAAGGCAGAAGGUGAAAGCGAGGCUGUCAAAGGCUUCGGCUCAAAGAGGGGUUCGCGUCCUAUCAGGUAGUUGGUGGGGUAAUGGCCUACCAAGCCAAUGACGGGUAGCUGGUCUUAGAGGACGAUCAGCCACAGUGGGACUGAGACACGGCCCGCACCCCUACGGGGGGCAGCAGUGGGGAAUCGUGGGCAAUGGGCGCAAGCCUGACCCCGCAAUGCCGCGUGAGAGAAGAAGCCCUUCGGGGUGUAAACCUCUGUCAGAUGGGAAGAUGGGACUAGGGGCUAAUACCUCCUAGUCUUGACGGUACCAUCAGAGGAAGGGACGGCUAACUACGUGCCAGCAGCCGCGGUAAUACGUAGGUCCCGAGCGUUGCGCGAUGUUACUGGGCGUAAAGCGUCCGUAGCUGGUUUCGUAAGCGGAUUGUCAAAGCCCGAAGCUCAACUUCGGCANGCAUUCCGAACUGCGUUACUUGAGUCCUGUUCAGGUAGGCGGAAUUCCCGGUGUAGCGGUGAAAUGCGUAAAUAUCGGGANGNAACACCAGUGGCGAAGGCGGCCUACUGGGACGGUACUGACGUUCAUGGAACAAAAGCUGGGGGAACCAAACCGGAUUAAAUACCCCGGCUAGUCCCACCCUUAAACGAUGGNAUGUNAGGUGUAGUGAUAACUUCCCUGCACCCCCAGCUAAACGCCGUUAAAANUCCCCCCCUGGGGGANUACNGGNCCCAAGCCUUGAAACUCAAAGGAAUUNGGGGGGGGNCCCCCCCNAACCGGUGNAACCGUUNGGNUUUAAUUUCNAGGCNAACCCAAAAACCUUACCCAGGNUUUUAAANUGNUNANAAAANGGNUUUCCAAAAAAAACCCGGGUUUNCCNUUUNNGGGAAAAAUCCAACCCCAGGGGGGGNCNGGGCCCCCCNNCCCCCNNNNUUUUGGAAAAUUUGGGUUNAAUCCCCCNANNAANNCNANCCCUUU